AGGAACCCCAAAUACAUACAUGCAUGCACAAUCACAUGACUGGACACUGAUAUUUUCAGUGGUGAAACCAGGACCCACGUCUUGCUUUUCAAGGAGUACAUUGUAGGUGGAGUUCUUCAGAAAAGGAGACAUCUUUAUGCUCUCAAUGCUUGAAUUUGAGAGACUGCUUGCAUGGCUUGCGGUUUCAGCUUCAUUCGUUUGGGUGGGUUUUAAGAGAGACUGGAAGUUCCCUGCUGAGCUGUGAGGUGAAGUGGAGCUUGUUCCAGCCUCAGGGAUACAGAAACCAGGCACAGGUUUGGAUUCUACGUACAAGCUUCGGAAUUCUCUGUCAAAGUCCUCAACGAUUUUGCCUCGGAAGUGUGUCACCAAGCAGGUGUGAACUUGACUGCAAAGCCAAGUAAAACUGGAAAACAAAUUGAAAGCUGACAUGACUCAAUAGAGAUGAUUAGCAGGUACUGAGCUCGCUGAAGUCUCAGGAUACCAAUCCCCGAACCUGGGUUAAACUAUUUAAUUUUGGACAGCGACCAGGUCAUGUUAACACGUGACUCUUUGGGUCCACACAUUUCAUCUACAUUAUAUAAGAGAUUGCUAUCUGAAUGAUAACCUGAGCGAUGGGCUGGCUGUCCGACAGUGACCCCCGGUCCGGAAAGGAGGGAAGCAGCAAGGCAUAAAGUAUUUUCUGGCUACUACGUUCCCUACAGUAACAGAGAGUUCUAUCAAGCUGCCUGCUGCUUGCGGAUCAUGUAAUGAAAUAAAAAUACCAAAAAUUAA
Chrysemys picta bellii (western painted turtle) is the source of this 771-nucleotide long non-coding RNA. RefSeq lists it as uncharacterized. NCBI's taxonomy places the organism in Eukaryota, Metazoa, Chordata, Testudines, Emydidae. The record is from RefSeq and is a predicted model, not a curated record.